RNAcentral lists this ribosomal RNA (446 nucleotides) under uncultured bacterium. RNAcentral describes it as "partial 16S ribosomal RNA". It matches the Rfam family "Bacterial small subunit ribosomal RNA", at positions 338 to 795 of the family's 1533-position model. The record is from RNAcentral.
CCUACGGGAGGCAGCAGUCGAGAAUCAUUCACAAUGGGGGAAACCCUGAUGGUGCGACGCCGCGUGGGGGAAUGAAGGUCUUCGGAUUGUAAACCCCUGUCAUGUGGGAGCAAAUUAAAAAGAUAGUACCACAAGAGGAAGAGACGGCUAACUCUGUGCCAGCAGCCGCGGUAAGACAGAGGUCUCAAGCGUUGUUCGGAAUCACGGGGCGUAAAGCGUGCGUAGGCUGUUUCGUAAGUCGGGUGUGAAAGGCGCGGGCUCAACCCGCGGACGGCACAUGAUACUGCGAGACUAGAGUAAUGGAGGGGGAACCGGAAUUCUCGGUGUAGCAGUGAAAUGCGUAGAUAUCGAGAGGAACACUCGUGGCGAAGGCGGGUUCCUGGACAUUAACUGACGCUGAGGCACGAAGGCCAGGGGAGCGAAAGGGAUUAGAUACCCGGGUAGUC